GAUGAACGCUAGCUACAGGCUUAACACAUGCAAGUCGAGGGGUAACAAGAGAAAAGCUUGCUUUUCUUGUUGACGACCGGCGCACGGGUGAGUAACGCGUAUCCAACCUGCCUAUAACUAGGGAAUAACCUUGCGAAAGUAAGACUAAUACCCUAUGAUUUCCUUUGAUGACAUCAGAUUAGGAAUAAAGAUUUAUCGGUUAUAGAUGGGGAUGCGUCUGAUUAGCUUGUUGGCGGGGUAACAGCCCACCAAGGCAACGAUCAGUAGGGGUUCUGAGAGGAAGGUCCCCCACAUUUGAACUGAGACACAGUCCAAAAUCCUACGGGAGGCAGCAGUGAGGAAUAUUGGUCAAUGGGCGGAAGCCUGAACCAGCCAAGUAGCGUGCAGGAUGACGGCCCUAUGGGUUGUAAACUGCUUUUAUACAGGAAUAAAGUUAGCCACGUGUGGUUAUUUGUAGGUACUGUAUGAAUAAGGACCGGCUAAUUCCGUGCCAGCCGCCGCAGUAA
This 506-nucleotide ribosomal RNA is filed under the name uncultured bacterium. RNAcentral's name for it is "partial 16S ribosomal RNA". It matches the Rfam family "Bacterial small subunit ribosomal RNA", at positions 28 to 523 of the family's 1533-position model. The record is from RNAcentral.